RNAcentral lists this long non-coding RNA (345 nucleotides) under Vicia faba (fava bean). Lineage: Eukaryota; Viridiplantae; Streptophyta; Magnoliopsida; Fabales; Fabaceae. The record is from RNAcentral.
AUGGGAUUUGAUUCCCCUGAUCUACGAUCACCCUCUUCAAUCUAUAUUCGACAGCUUGAAGAGGGCUUGCUUCUUGCUAAAGAUAAAUUAUCUCAUUUAAGAAGGCAUCGCCUGCCCAAUGACAAGCAAAAGACGAAGAAGGAACUUACUAGACCUCCUUGCGCCCAUAGCUUGACCUCAGCCUUGAACUACCUGCACGGAAGCCUUCCCUUCCUGGCGCGCAGACAGACCAUCUUUAGUGAAGUCCCUCCUUCCCCUAAAGCAUCCAUUUCGUCAAAGAAGGACGGAGCAGGCACACUUACUACUCUGAUUGGGCGUGGACUGGGAAAAAAAAGUAGCAGCUAA